CGGUCUCCGGUUCACGUGGGCGAGCCCGCCCGCGACCCGGGGAC
Regulatory RNA element from Cellulomonas carbonis T26, 44 nucleotides. It matches the Rfam family "L31-Actinobacteria ribosomal protein leader". The record is from Rfam. Lineage: Bacteria; Bacillati; Actinomycetota; Actinomycetes; Micrococcales; Cellulomonadaceae.